Molecule: long non-coding RNA, 1940 nt
Filed under: Vigna radiata
Lineage: Eukaryota; Viridiplantae; Streptophyta; Magnoliopsida; Fabales; Fabaceae
Description: long non-coding RNA (VRAD_LNC004489)
Source: RNAcentral
UGUUUCAUUUUAUAAACAAGUGUCUUGAAUAUAAUUAAAUAUAUUUCAAAUAAGUUUUGAAAAAUUUUACAGGUGAAAACAUUUUCAUUACUAAUUAAUAAAGAAUGAUUUUUCGGCUAACUUAAUUAAUUUUGUAUUGUCUAAAACUAAAACUAGAAUUAGUUACUCCUCAAUUACGAUAAGUGAUGUGGAAAAUAUUCCAGCACUGCUUUUAUAAAAAAAUAUUUUAUAUCAUGAAACUAUUUCAAGUUUUUGUGUGAUAACCUUUGCUAUAUUUUUUUUUGUUAUACUAUAACUAUAGUUAAGUUAUGUAAAGCAACUGAACAAAAAAUGAGUCAGUGGAAAAAGUCUUAAUAUAUUUCUGUAAAAAAAAAUGCUGAUAAUAGGAAAAAAAUUGUUUUAUGAUAUGAAAUUGAAAUUAAUAGUGUCAUCUAUUAUCAUAUUUGUAAUUUUCAUUAUAUCAAAAGUGUCUCCUUUAUGAUUUGAUUUUGUUGAUUAUUAUUUGCUUGUAUAUCCUUUCAUUAAAGAAACAUCUAUUAUUUUUAAAAUUAUAUUAUGUAUAAUAUAACAAUCAUAAAAUCGAAUCAAUUCUAAGAAUAGAUAAUCGUAUCAUAAAACUUGUUUCUGAAGUUUGAAUUGUCUGGUUUUGGUGCCAUCAUCAAUUUCUUGCACCUCAUCCUCUCUUUUAUACGGACUCAAUCUUUCCAUUUGCUGGCUAAUUAUCUUCAACAGAUUCAAUAUCAUAGCCAUCACAACAUGGUUUAUGAUCAAUCUUCUCCUCAUUGUCAACAACAUCAGGCUCACACUUCUCCAACCUUCUCUUUCUUUUAGAAUUAAUUUUUCUAAUUCCAAAUUCAUCGACAUUCUCGUCUAAAUUGUUUUCCUUCUUCCCAUAAUCAUUCAUAAAGUCCAGACAAUUUGGAAGAGAGAAAGAUAAAGAAUGGUUUUAGUGGUUGACUGCUCUCAGUUGAAAGGCCAAUUUUUUCCACAUAAGAAAACUUAAGAUGGGAAAAGUCCCUUAAAAUUUAAGCUGAGUCCCCUCAAAUGCUUGCGAAAGCCCUCACCCAAUCUCUAAAAGAAUAGGCAACUGAAUACCUCUUCAGUUAGAAGUUGAAGUCACAGGGCUGAAGCAAGCAAAACAGGAUCACAUCAAAUCUUAAAGAAAAAGGAACCCUAAAAGUCCCAUCCAGCCUCUCUUCAGUGUGGUUAAAGCAAAGAAAUCAUCAUCGAGCAAUUGCAUAUAAAUACAAUGACAGACAAAAAAACAUUAGUGAACCAAAGAAUAACAUGCAACAAUUCCAUUUAAAAUCAAACAAAAAUUACAGAUACAAAUUUGGCCAUAAAUUCCUUAAUUUUAAAGAAUAAUAAUGGAGAACAACAUCCUAACAGACGAAAAAUAUCAUAAAAAAAAAUACUUGCAGCAGAAUUAUUUCUUUAUACAAAAAUGAAAAAAGAACCAGAAAGCGAAAAACACAAACUCUACAAAAGAUUAUACAUUUUGAAUCCUACGAGAAAUAGAUAAUAUCCAUUAAAACAGGGACCAUACCAGUCCAUUGAUAAACCGUUCAAUUUCGCAUCUUUUCGUACCUUCCAUUCCAAUGUAAUACAAAUAGAAAACAAUAUAAGAUGCAGUUACAAUCACAAAAAGAAAUGCUUACUCAGAAAAAUCGUUGAAGAGAUAACUAGGGUUAGGAAAAAAUAUCAGAUCUGAGAAAAUAGAGACUGACUACUGACGAGGAAGAAGGGGCUGGAUCUUGAUAUAUAUAUCCCCAAUUGACUAGGGUUUAGUCAAAUUACCAAUUUGCCACUGUAACGGUAUACUCAAGCUAAAUUUGAACCUAACAGAUUAAAUUAAAAGUUAAAAUCUCAUAUUUAAAAUAUAUAUUAAUCUUUAUAGACCUUACGUCUAUCUACUAUUAAUCAAUAUAAAUAUUUAUUCU